Molecule: ribosomal RNA, 253 nt
Filed under: uncultured bacterium
Lineage: Bacteria
Description: partial 16S ribosomal RNA
Rfam family: Bacterial small subunit ribosomal RNA
Source: RNAcentral
UACAGAGGUCUCAAGCGUUGUUCGGAUUCAUUGGGCGUAAAGGGUGCGUAGGUGGCGGGGUUAGUCAGGUGUGAAAUCUCGGAGCUUAACUCCGAAACUGCAUUCGAUACUGCCGUGCUUGAGGACUGGAGAGGAGACUGGAAUUUACGGUGUAGCGGUGAAAUGCGUAGAUAUCGUAAGGAAGACCAGUGGCGAAGGCGGGUCUCUGGACAGUUCCUGACGCUGAGGCACGAAGGCUAGGGGAGCAAACGGG